UACGUAGGGGGCAAGCGUUGUCCGGAUUUAUUGGGCGUAAAGAGUGCGUAGGUGGUGCCCUAAGUCUGUUGUGAAAUCUCCCGGCUUAACUGGGAGGGUGCGGUGGAAACUGGGGUGCUUGAGUGUGGGAGAGGUAAGCGGAAUUCCUGGUGUAGCGGUGAAAUGCGUAGAUAUCAGGAGGAACACCGGUGGUGUAGACGGCUUACUGGACCACGACUGACACUGAGGCACGAAAGCGUGGGUAGCAAACAGG
This 253-nucleotide ribosomal RNA is filed under the name uncultured bacterium. Its description in RNAcentral is "partial 16S ribosomal RNA". It matches the Rfam family "Bacterial small subunit ribosomal RNA", at positions 524 to 776 of the family's 1533-position model. The record is from RNAcentral.